GACUUGUGUAUUCCUAGGUUUUGGUAUACUGAGCUGGUCCUGGAACCAACCCCCUUGUACGCUGAUGGACGACUGCCUAAUGAACAGGGGCCAGUGCUUGAAAUUGCCAUCAUACCCUCUCUAUUUAUCCCAUAUGUCCACUAUGAGGCAUAAUAGAACCAGUUGGAAGAGUCUGCCAACCUUCCACUCUGUGAACAGAGAAGUAGACGACACUUUAGAAAGAGUGAAUAUCUUCUGUCCAUAAAUAGCUUCUUUGUCCAAAAAAUCAAAGAAGAGACUCUUUUGAUUAUUCUAGAAAUAUAUUCU
This 306-nucleotide long non-coding RNA is filed under the name Pan troglodytes (chimpanzee). RNAcentral describes it as "long non-coding RNA NONPTRT011503". Lineage: Eukaryota; Metazoa; Chordata; Mammalia; Primates; Hominidae. The record is from RNAcentral.